This 332-nucleotide long non-coding RNA is filed under the name Chrysemys picta bellii (western painted turtle). RNAcentral's name for it is "lncRNA (ENSCPBG00000025992.1)". The record is from RNAcentral. Lineage: Eukaryota; Metazoa; Chordata; Testudines; Emydidae.
GAGGCAAAAGUGAAAAUGUGUUUGUGUAAGGAGGGCAUCUAUUACUGGAAACAAGUGGCCAUUUUCUUCACUGCCUUAGGACUGCACAACCUCAGAACUGUGGGUGGUGAACUAGACGGACGAUUGCUGUGGUCUCGUCUGGCAAUCUUCCAAACGCGUGUUCUGAAGUUGGUAUGGUCCAGGACACGUGCCAGCAAUAACAGAGUCAUUCCGAAUGUUUCAAUUUGUGUAGUGGGCAUAGAGUGAUUUGAACUUCCUGCUGAUAUAUCUCUGAAUAUGCAAGUAUUCAUUUAGACAGAGGGGAGAAUUGAACCUGGUCUUCCACAUCCCAG